This 253-nucleotide ribosomal RNA is filed under the name uncultured bacterium. Its description in RNAcentral is "partial 16S ribosomal RNA". It matches the Rfam family "Bacterial small subunit ribosomal RNA", at positions 524 to 776 of the family's 1533-position model. The record is from RNAcentral.
UACGUAGGGUGCAAGCGUUGUCCGGAAUUAUUGGGCGUAAAGAGCUCGUAGGCGGUUUGUCGCGUCUGCUGUGAAAACCCGAGGCUCAACCUCGGGCCUGCAGUGGGUACGGGCAGACUAGAGUGCGGUAGGGGAGAUUGGAAUUCCUGGUGUAGCGGUGGAAUGCGCAGAUAUCAGGAGGAACACCGGUGGCGAAGGCGGCUUCCUGGACCGACACUGACGCUGAGGCGCGAAAGCUAGGGGAGCAAACGGG